This 237-nucleotide ribosomal RNA is filed under the name uncultured Staphylococcus sp. RNAcentral describes it as "partial 16S ribosomal RNA". It matches the Rfam family "Bacterial small subunit ribosomal RNA", at positions 103 to 334 of the family's 1533-position model. Lineage: Bacteria; Bacillati; Bacillota; Bacilli; Caryophanales; Staphylococcaceae. The record is from RNAcentral.
CGGGUGAGUAACACGUGGAUAACCUACCCAUAAGACUGGGAUGACUUCGGGAAACCGGAGCUAAUACCGGAUAAUAUUUUAAACCGCAUGGUUCAAAAGUGAAAGACGGUCUUGCUGUCACUUAUAGAUGGAUCCACGCUGCAUUAGCUAGUUGGUAAGGUAACGGCUUACCAAGGCAACGAUGCAUAGCCGACCUGAGAGGGUGAUCGGCCACACUGGAACUGAGACACGGUCCAG